This 460-nucleotide ribosomal RNA is filed under the name uncultured bacterium. Its description in RNAcentral is "partial 16S ribosomal RNA". It matches the Rfam family "Bacterial small subunit ribosomal RNA", at positions 338 to 795 of the family's 1533-position model. The record is from RNAcentral.
CCUACGGGGGGCAGCAGUGAGGAAUAUUGGUCAAUGGACGAGAGUCUGAACCAGCCAAGUAGCGUGAAGGAUGACUGCCCUAUGGGUUGUAAACUUCUUUUAUAUGGGAAUAAAAUGUUCCACGUGUGGGAUUUUGUAUGUACCAUAUGAAUAAGGAUCGGCUAACUCCGUGCCAGCAGCCGCGGUAAUACGGAGGAUCCGAGCGUUAUCCGGAUUUAUUGGGUUUAAAGGGUGCGUAGGUGGAUUGUUAAGUCAGUUGUGAAAGUUUGGGGCUCAACCGUAAAAUUGCAGUUGAAACUGGCAGUCUUGAGUACAGUAGAGGUGGGCGGAAUUCGUGGUGUAGCGGUGAAAUGCUUAGAUAUCACGAAGAACUCCGAUUGCGAAGGCAGUUCACUGGACUGCAACUGACACUGAGGCUCGAAAGUGUGGGUAUCAAACAGGAUUAGAUACCCGAGUAGUC